Molecule: unclassified non-coding RNA, 233 nt
Filed under: Hevea brasiliensis (rubber tree)
Lineage: Eukaryota; Viridiplantae; Streptophyta; Magnoliopsida; Malpighiales; Euphorbiaceae
Source: RNAcentral
CUAAAUCAGAAGAACUAGCUGAAUUAUCAAUUCUUGGCUGCAGAUUAGAUGUAUUUUGUCUUUGAGGAGUGUUCUCGCUAGAAGUUGAAACUUGAAAGUGAUCUGGAACAAUCUUUAACUUCCCAAGACAUCAUCCAUGUAGAUAUAUAUUCACUUCAAGAAGAGGCGCAAAUCUUUGACCGUAUAUGUAUGUAGAAAGAGACUUUUUUCCAAUGUUAUCAACAGAGAAAGGA